UACUCAGUUUCGAUGUCCU
Molecule: non-coding RNA, 19 nt
Filed under: Arabidopsis thaliana (thale cress)
Lineage: Eukaryota; Viridiplantae; Streptophyta; Magnoliopsida; Brassicales; Brassicaceae
Source: RNAcentral